Hyla sarda is the source of this 782-nucleotide long non-coding RNA. RefSeq lists it as uncharacterized. NCBI's taxonomy places the organism in Eukaryota, Metazoa, Chordata, Amphibia, Anura, Hylidae. The record is from RefSeq and is a predicted model, not a curated record. The transcript is spliced from 3 exons.
CGCAAUCAGACACUUAUCCCCUAUCCUGCGAAUAGGGGAUAAGUGUCUUACACUGUAGAUCUUCUUUAAUGAGUCAACCAUUUUUUUUUUUUUUUUAUUACAAUUUAAAAGUUGCUUCAUUUUCUAACUGCUUUUGUGUCUUCCUUGCAAGAAUCUAGUUUUUUUUUUAGAAUUCUUUUCCUGUAGAGCAAGAAUAUUUGAUGCGGCCUGUUGGCCCUGGAGGACACCAUUACCCAAGAGUGAGACGACCAUCUGCCCAGACUGGAAGGAGUUACGAUGAGCCGGUGUUCCUUAUCUUCCCUGGCUGGAAUUGUGGACCUGUGCUUUUGCCACUGCCUCAAAUAUGUAAAGUUUAUCAUCAACACAAGAAGAAUAAUGACUAAGGUUACCAAAUGUCGGCCCCAACUGGGAGGAGCUGCUAUUGGAAAGUUAAGUAUCUAUAUUCAUCACUUAUGCUAUGUCUUUGUUCUAUAACGCUAUCUUUAUACUUCAUCCAGAAGGUGUUCAUUAUUUACCGUGUCUGUUUUUUCCCAGUGCUAUUGUGAUAACCAUUAUGGUCAGCCCCAUCUCUAGUACCGGCAGGUUAGGUAGUCGCUACCUAUGCAUGACUUGUUGCAUUGCUAACUUGGGGGAGUUAUCAAUGUGGCACCAUGUGUAGAUAGCCAUAAUAACUAGUUUAACCUAAAGAAUCAGUUAGUAAUUCAGUAAAUUAGCCAUCUAUUGUAAUAAAUCUUUGCAAAAUGGCAGUUUACCGUAUAAUUCUAUGGUGAAUGUAAGCUCCA